RNAcentral lists this transfer RNA (540 nucleotides) under uncultured cyanobacterium. Its description in RNAcentral is "partial contains 16S ribosomal RNA, 16S-23S ribosomal RNA intergenic spacer, and 23S ribosomal RNA". The stretch from base 212 to 284 matches the Rfam family "tRNA". The record is from RNAcentral. Lineage: Bacteria; Bacillati; Cyanobacteriota.
CAGGGAGACAACAAAAUGUUUAAUAUUAUUAUUUUGUCACCUUAGGUCGAUCGGUAUCUCACGUUUUUAAUUUAUUAAGAAUUUCAUUUCCUAAGUUUUUCUAGGUCACACCCAUUAUUUUUCCUGGGCCAUUAGCUCAGGUGGUUAGAGCGCACCCCUGAUAAGGGUGAGGUCCCUGGUUCAAGUCCAGGAUGGCCCAUAUCUCUAUGUUGGGGGUAUAGCUCAGUUGGUAGAGCGCCUGCUUUGCAAGCAGGAUGUCGGCGGUUCGAGUCCGCUUACCUCCACUGAUUACCACCUCUUGCAUAACCGGUAGAAAGGAAAUGUUUUGAGUUGUGAUCAAAUUCUGAAAGAAUCUAGCUUCCUAAUGAAAUCAUUAAGAUGCUGGACUCAUUGAAUUAAUUUCAUUGUUUUCAGAGAACCUUGACAACUGCAUAGAUUAUUUUAAAGACAAUAAGCAUCUUUAAUGAUGCAGAUUUAUUAUUUGUGCGAAUGCAUUAAUAACAAUUCUAUUAAGCUGAUGCUUCAAUUUUUGAAGUUAUU